RNAcentral lists this long non-coding RNA (162 nucleotides) under Numida meleagris (helmeted guineafowl). RNAcentral describes it as "lncRNA (ENSNMEG00000003290.1)". Lineage: Eukaryota; Metazoa; Chordata; Aves; Galliformes; Numididae. The record is from RNAcentral.
GUGGGCCCGCCACGUGCUGGGGGCGCCCCCACGCCCCCGUGGUUACUGACUGUGUUGCUAUGCUACAGAUCUCUGGAUGAUGUCAACUGCUUCUGACAAUUGAAGUAAUUAUUUGGCUUGCCCAGUCCCUUCUCUACUUCCAACUCUUCAUCAGUCCUUGAU